Molecule: ribosomal RNA, 297 nt
Filed under: uncultured bacterium
Lineage: Bacteria
Description: partial 16S ribosomal RNA
Rfam family: Bacterial small subunit ribosomal RNA
Source: RNAcentral
UCUAACCUACGGGGGGCAGCAGUAGGGAAUCUUCCACAAUGGACGAAAGUCUGAUGGAGCAACGCCGCGUGAGUGAAGAAGGGUUUCGGCUCGUAAAACUCUGUUGGUAGGGAAGAAAGAUAGAGGUAGUAACUGGCCUUUAUUUAACGGUAAUUACUUAGAAAGUCACGGCUAACUACGUGCCAGCAGCCGCGGUAAUACGUAGGGGGCAAGCGUUGUCCGGAUUUAUUGGGCGUCAAGCGAGUGCAGGCGGCUCAAUAAGUCUGAUGUGCAAGCCUUCGGCUCAACCGGAGAAUU